This 344-nucleotide ribosomal RNA is filed under the name Arcovomer passarellii (Passarelli's frog). Its description in RNAcentral is "partial 16S ribosomal RNA". It matches the Rfam family "Bacterial large subunit ribosomal RNA", at positions 1994 to 2515 of the family's 2925-position model. Lineage: Eukaryota; Metazoa; Chordata; Amphibia; Anura; Microhylidae. The record is from RNAcentral.
GAAUGGCAUCACGAGGGUUAUACUGUCUCCCCCCUCUAAUCAGUGAAACUGAUCCCCCCGUGAAGAAGCGGGGAUAAGAAUAUAAGACGAGAAGACCCCAUGGAGCUUAAAACCCUACACCACCUACCCACCCCACAUCACCCAAAACAGGUAGACAUGGUGCCCAGUUUUCGGUUGGGGUGACCGCGGAGUAAAGCUAAACCUCCACGAUGAUAUUAUCUAAGAGCCACAACUCAAAGAAUCAACUAAUUGACAUACUUUGACCCAAAGAAAUUUGAUCAACGAACCAAGUUACCCUGGGGAUAACAGCGCAAUCCAUUUCAAGAGCCCCUAUCGACAAAUGG